RNAcentral lists this ribosomal RNA (1166 nucleotides) under Scutigerella causeyae. RNAcentral's name for it is "16S ribosomal RNA". Lineage: Eukaryota; Metazoa; Arthropoda; Symphyla; Scutigerellidae. The record is from RNAcentral.
UAAUAUUUGCUUAUUUUAAAUAAUUAAAAAUAUAUUUGAUGGUAAAAUAAAUGAAUUUUAAUAAGAAUUUUAACUGAAAAGGAAUUUAAAUUAAAUAGAGGAUAAAUUGUUUUACCUUUUGUAUAAGGGUUAUAUAAAUAAUAUUAAAAGGUUUAUGUCCCGAAUUAAUUUGAUUUAUUUUUUNUUAAUAUUAUGUAAAACAAUAAAAUAGAAGGAAAUUAUGGAAGUGAAAUGCUAUAACGAAAAUUAGGAUAUCUGGUUAACUUUUUAUAAAAUUAAAUUUUUAAAAAUUAGUUUAGAAAGUGGAGCGAGAAAAGUUGCUUUUCAAUAUAUAUGUAAAAUAUUUUUUAAAGUCUUAGAUUUGAAAGUUGUUAAAGUUAAUUGUACUAUAACUUUUUAUAUUUAAUUUAAGAAAAGUUAUUGGCAAAAAGUUUUGUUAUAGAAUGGGUUUAGUUUUUAUAAUAAUGUAAUGAAUUAGUAGAAAUUAAAAUUUGUAAAAGUUAAAAUAUUAAGGAAAAUGGGAUUAAGAAAAAAAUUUUAAUUAAGAAUUAGGCAAAAAUAUUUUUGCCUGUUUAUCAAAAACAUGGUUUUAUGAAUAAAUAUAAGGUCAAGCCUGCCCACUGAUAAAUUAAAUGGCUGCAGAAUAUUUACUGUGCGAAGGUAGCAUAAUAAUUUGCCUUUUAAUUGGAGGCUGGAAUGAAAGGUUAAACAAUAAUAUACUUUUUUAUUAAGAAAAAUUGAAUUUUAUUUUAUAAUGAAAAAUUUAUAAAAAUAUAAAAAGACGAGAAGACCCUAUUAAGUUUUAUAAUAAAUUGUUUGUUAAAAUUAUAAUGAAAAUAAUUAUUUAUUUAUUUGGGGCAAUUUAAAUUAAUAUUUAUAACUAUAAAAGGAGAUCCAGUAAUACUGAUCUUAUGACUAAAUUACUAUAGGGAUAACAGCGUUAUUUUGUUUUAGAGUUCAUAUCAGAAACAAAGAUUACGACCUCGAUGUUGGAUUGGGAUAAAUAUUUUGCGGAGGGGCAAAGUUAAUUAAGUCUGUUCGACUUUUAAUUUCCUACAUGAUUUGAGUUCAAAUCGGCGUGAGCCAGAUUGGUUUCUAUCUUUUAUUAGUUUAAUAAUUUUUUAGUACGAAAGGAUUUUUAAUUUUUAAGGAUUUAAUUUUAAAUA